Molecule: transfer RNA, 69 nt
Filed under: Desmognathus aeneus
Lineage: Eukaryota; Metazoa; Chordata; Amphibia; Caudata; Plethodontidae
Description: tRNA-Tyr
Rfam family: tRNA
About the family: Transfer RNA (tRNA) molecules are approximately 80 nucleotides in length. Their secondary structure includes four short double-helical elements and three loops (D, anti-codon, and T loops). Further hydrogen bonds mediate the characteristic L-shaped molecular structure. tRNAs have two regions of fundamental functional importance: the anti-codon, which is responsible for specific mRNA codon recognition, and the 3' end, to which the tRNAs corresponding amino acid is attached (by aminoacyl-tRNA synthetases). tRNAs cope with the degeneracy of the genetic code in two manners: having more than one tRNA (with a specific anti-codon) for a particular amino acid; and 'wobble' base-pairing, i.e. permitting non-standard base-pairing at the 3rd anti-codon position.
Source: RNAcentral
GGGUAAAGUGGCCGAAUAGGUAUUGAGUUGUAGCCUCAAUAAUAAAGGUUUAAGUCCUUUCUAUGCCAA